This 639-nucleotide ribosomal RNA is filed under the name Klebsiella quasipneumoniae subsp. similipneumoniae. RNAcentral describes it as "partial 23S ribosomal RNA". It matches the Rfam family "Bacterial large subunit ribosomal RNA", at positions 911 to 1551 of the family's 2925-position model. Lineage: Bacteria; Pseudomonadati; Pseudomonadota; Gammaproteobacteria; Enterobacterales; Enterobacteriaceae. The record is from RNAcentral.
UGUUUCGGCUAGGGGGUCAUCCCGACUUACCAACCCGAUGCAAACUACGAAUACCGAAGAAUGUUAUCACGGGAGACACACGGCGGGUGCUAACGUCCGUCGUGAAGAGGGAAACAACCCAGACCGCCAGCUAAGGUCCCAAAGUCAUGGUUAAGUGGGAAACGAUGUGGGAAGGCACAGACAGCCAGGAUGUUGGCUUAGAAGCAGCCAUCAUUUAAAGAAAGCGUAAUAGCUCACUGGUCGAGUCGGCCUGCGCGGAAGAUGUAACGGGGCUAAACCAUGCACCGAAGCUGCGGCAGCGACACUAUGUGUUGUUGGGUAGGGGAGCGUUCUGUAAGCCUGCGAAGGUGACCUGUGAGGGUUGCUGGAGGUAUCAGAAGUGCGAAUGCUGACAUAAGUAACGAUAAAGCGGGUGAAAAGCCCGCUCGCCGGAAGACCAAGGGUUCCUGUCCAACGUUAAUCGGGGCAGGGUGAGUCGACCCCUAAGGCGAGGCCGAAAGGCGUAGUCGAUGGGAAACAGGUUAAUAUUCCUGUACUUGGUGUUACUGCGAAGGGGGGACGGAGAAGGCUAUGUUAGCCGGGCGACGGUUGUCCCGGUUUAAGCAUGUAGGCUGGUUAUCCAGGCAAAUCCGGAUAAUC